Molecule: transfer RNA, 73 nt
Filed under: Gaiellaceae bacterium
Lineage: Bacteria; Bacillati; Actinomycetota; Thermoleophilia; Gaiellales; Gaiellaceae
Also listed under: 2 other names
Description: tRNA-Val
Rfam family: tRNA
About the family: Transfer RNA (tRNA) molecules are approximately 80 nucleotides in length.
Source: RNAcentral
GGGCGGUUAGCUCAGUUGGGAGAGCACCUGGUUUACACCCAGGGGGUCGGGGGUUCGAGCCCCUCACCGCCCA